RNAcentral lists this long non-coding RNA (5127 nucleotides) under Sus scrofa (pig). RNAcentral's name for it is "lncRNA (ENSSSCG00000052387.1)". Lineage: Eukaryota; Metazoa; Chordata; Mammalia; Artiodactyla; Suidae. The record is from RNAcentral.
UUUUUUUUUUUUUUUUUUUUUUUUUUUUUGUCUUUUGUCUUUUUGUCUGUUGUUGUUGUUGAUGUUGUUGUUGCUAUUUCUUGGGCCGCUCCCGCGGCAUAUGGAGGUUCCCAGGCUAGGGGUUGAAUCAGAGCUGUAGCCACCGGCCUACGCCAGAGCCACAGCAACGCUGGAUCCGAGCCGCGUCUGCAACCUACACCACAGCUCACGGCAACGCCGGAUCGUUAACCCACUGAGCAAGGGCAGGGACCGAACCCGCAACCUCAUGGUUCCUAGUCGGAUUCGUUAACCACUGCGCCACGACGGGAACUCCAAGCUGGUUUAUCUUUAGAAGAGAAUAAAUCUGAGAGCCAUUUUGCACAUUCCCCCAGAGUGCCCAAGUUAUGAGUGCCCUUCCUAGGUAUUUAUUGGCAACCUACCCUUCCCUAAUUCGCUUCCUUAAUCAAUUACCUACUGGUGUACAACUAAUUGUCCUCAAAAACAUGUAUUUAUAAUCUUUUAGAGGACCUCAGACCUACAUAAGGGUAUAUAAAACAACCCAUAAUUAUUCUUAAAUUGUUGUCUACUUAUUUAUUGUUUGUGUUUUUCUACUAGAAUAGAAACUGUGUGAGGGAAGAGAUCCUGCUUCUCUGACUUGAUUGCAUUCUUCCAAGCAACUAGAAAAAUCCUUGCAAUGAUCUCAGUGCUUCACAAAAUUCUUAUUGAAUCAGGGAGUGAACACACAAUAAAUAGUUGUAUUUUUAUUGUGGUUUCUCUUAAUAUUCUAUAUCUUCUCAUCUUUCCUUUCUGUUUCUUAAAAUGAGGAAAGACACAAUUCACACUGAGCUGAAAAUGGCCCACGUUAAAGCAUGAAUGAUUCACCGGCUUUUGCUUCCUUCAGCUUUUAAAGGUUCCUUUUAGAGCCCCCAAAUCUUUUAUUUCAGAGUGAGAGAAUUCUUUUAUCUUCAAGAAUAAUCCCUGGCAAAGAUUUUUCAAUGCCAACCUAAAAAUCACAGCUUGAUGGAGAUACAAAGGACAAUUUUUCCUCCAAAGACAUCUCAGCACUUGUGAAAAACAUUGUUUUAUCUCAUUAGAGACUGAUUAUGUCUACAUGAUAAAAGCUGUGUAAUCAAAAUUCAUGAUCUCUUCCGUAAAAGGCAAAACUAUGGGGAUGGAGAACAGAACACCAUUGCUGGGCUGAGAGUUGGGGGUGACGACUACAAAGGACACUGUGGGGAAGUUUCUUUGUCUUCAUUAGAUGACAAGACUCUAUGCGCUUCGGAGGAUUCAUACAACUGCACAUCAAAAUAAGUGAAUUUUACUCAAUGUGUGUUAAAAUAUCAUCCAUAAUAUUUUGUCACCCUCGAUGUUGAAGUCUCCUAAUCAGUUUGAAAAAAAAAACUGUAUGCAUAUUUUUAUCUAGGUCAACUUAAUGAAAUUUAUCAGAUUUAGAAGAUAGCAGAAAGCCUUAUUAUUUAUGAAAAGGAAUUUUGAGUAUUGUCUGUAUUUAGUGCCAUCAUUACUGUGAGUAUCUUAAACUGUACUGAAUAUAUUUUCUCUCAUUUUGAUCCUUUGCCUCUCACUGUACCUAAUGUUAUUGAGGAUUACAAGGUCACAACAGCCAAACAAUCCUAACAGUUCCAACAGUUGAAGAGUAUUCAGCUUUUUUUUCAGCUUCAUUUCUCUUCUAAGAAUUAGUUUUUCCUAACAUCAUGCCAGAAGGUUAGAGAUGUUCUGAAACCAACCUUGAGUGAUUUAUGUCUAUCCCUAUAUCUCUGAUUUUUCUUUUUCUACCUUUCAUCUUUCUCAGAUUUUUAAAGCAGUCACAAAAUUCCUGAGGUAUCACUUCAAGCAAAACUCAAGAGAAAGUCACUUAAAAAACAAAAAAAACCCUGUUCAACUAAGAUAUGCUUAGAAGCACCUUACAGUUUUUAAAUGGAAUUAUAACAGAUCCCAAGGGGACACAUGGGUAUUUAGCUGUUAAGGCCAAUAAGGAUUGCAGCUUUUGGUUGUACUAAUAAGGGUGACUUCUAAUAAGAGACAUCAUUAAAACUAAAUAUUUAGAUCUGACGCAUAUUUAAACUCAACUUUUAUUUCUAUGAUAAUCCUUUAAUUUUGGAGUUAGAGGAUUUCCAUAAGCUAGUGUUCUCUAACAGAUAGGAAAUACUUGGGAUAACUGCUGCUGAAACUGUGUCACACAAAUAUGCUGUAUAUUUAACUUUACCUAGAUCUUUUCCUGAUAACAGGUUUUCAGUAAUUUCUAAAUUUAUCAGUAGUGUUUCAGUUAACCAUUGCAACGUAAAAACAGUCUCACAUUUAGUGGGUCACAACAAUAGCACUGUAAUAUUUAAUGAUUUCUUGGCUUGGUAGAUUUUUGCUGGUUUCACCUGGGGGUACUCCUGUGACUGUGCAGAUGAAGAGCGGCUGGGCUGCAAGGUCCCUCACAAAUCUGACAUGAGUGCUGAAGGUCCCCUAGGGAUACCCUCAAUUCCUCAUGAAGCCUCUCAUUUUCUAGCAGUCCAGGUUGCCAUCCUUAGAUGGCAGUUUCAGGUUGGCAUUCAGAGAUGGUAGAGGCAGAAGCCAUGGUACCUCUCGCAGACUAAGCUUUGCAUCGUACACAAGGUUGUUUCUGUCACAGUCUUGUUCAGGCAGGUCUUGAGGGCAUUUUAACAGAAGAGUUGGGCCUGUACAUUCCCCUUCUUGAAAGAAGCUGCUGCCAAAUAUUGUGACCAUGCUUUCAAUCAGAUGACCUCAGAUGUCAGUAUGAGCCCAGAGCCUCGGUGUCACCAGUACUAACUGGUAUGAAAGGUAGUCUUUUGUAUCUUCCAAAUCAUUGUUAUUGGCCAUCUACUUACAUGGUUAUUGCCGUAAUUUACUUUGAUCAAAAUAACCUGACUCUGUCUCUCAAUGUAACUUUUUGAUUAAAUCAGCAAAUGCGUUUAAGGCAUUACUACUUUGUAAGUUUUUUUUUUAAAUUAAACUAUAGUUGAUGUACAAUGUUACUGUACCAGUUGUUGCUGUGCAGCAAAGGGACUCAUUCAUCCAUAUGUAUACAUUCUUUCUUUAUAUUCUUUUCCAUCUUGGUCUAUCCCAGGAGAUUGGAUAUAGUCCCCUGUGCUCUACAGUAGAACUUUGUUGUUAUAGGCAUUCCCACUUUUAAAUAUUUCAUCGUGAUACUCUUUCUGGCUGAGACUAUUACUGCUAUUUACUGUUCUACUUAAAUGGUAUUUUGUGACAGACACUUGAUGUAGAAAACAUACUAAUGGCCCUGAAAGAUGCAUACCAUUAUUUGUAUUUCACAGUUAAGGAAACUGAGGACUGGCAGUGUUAAGGAACAUUCCAGAUUGGCAUGCAUAGGGGUCUUUGUGUCCUAUAGGUCUGUGCUUCACAAAAUAAUACAAAAUGUACUGUCACACCAUUCAUAAAAAUAUUGUUUUCACAGAUUGAUCUCACUAGUCUCCAAUUUAAUAGAAUCACUAUAAACACAAAUAUUACCUUAAUGUUGAUGCCUCACUUUAUUUUAAUUAUGCAUCAUGGUAUUCAUACCUACAGAUCAAUUGAGUAACCCUUUGCAUAAUGGAUCUUGGGACCAGAAGGUUAAUUCCUCAUAAGCCUGAAUUUUUCCAGUGGGGUGACCAAGAGGAGCACUUCUUGUUGGGUGGUCCUUGAAAGCCAGGCAGAGCAGAGGCAGACUCAAAGACUCCAACUUAGAGGCCACAGAGUUGGCAGGAAGGCAGGAUUGAAACCAAAGAGACAGAAGGGAAGCCAAAUCAAGAGCCAAAGACCUGGGAAGACUGGAUUAAAGGAGGAAAAAAAAAAAAAAAAACAUUUUGGAAGGAUAUCUAGAUGUUAAGGUAAUUAGUAGAAACCCUAAAAAGGCAGAUAUUUAAGCCAUAUUAUGUAUUGGGAAGUUCAGGAAAGUAUGAACUCCAAAGUUUUUCAUACUUCUCUUUUGAGAGCAGUUGUUUGUUCUUUUUAGAUGGUAUAUUAAUAUUUCUUCAAUAUAUAUGUGGAAAACAUGUUAGAAAACUGGUUGUCAUUAUCAUGUGUUAAAUUCCCAAACUUGGUUACAAGGGCAGUGCUGAGAGUACACCUAUUUUAGUGCCACAUCUUUGGACAGCGAUGAAACUGCAAGACCAUUUUCUCGUUUUAAUCAGAUGUUUGUGAUUUCAGAAGCAUAAUUCUGAAGCACUUAUAACCUGAGAGUGUGAACUUCUCAAAUACAUUGCAUACAUAUGUAUGUACAUAUGUACAUAGGUAUAUAUAUUUGUAGAUCAACAUAUUUUUCUCUCUCUGUAUGUACAUGUGUAUAUAUUCACACAAAUAUAUGUAUAUAUACACAUACACACCUGUAACCUCUUUCCACCUUUAUAUGUAUAUGAUUGAAACGAAAGCCCUAAGGCAACUUUGGCAAAAAGCCCUGAGAAAUGUGGAAAAACUAAUUUCUGUUGGCUUUCUGAUGACACCAUUCUCCUCAGUGUUCGCCUGGGAUAGAAGAUGGCAGUUUGCAGUCCAGGACAGGAUCUUCGGCAGCAUCAAGAAGGUUUGAUUGCAUCACAUGUCUCAGGAAGGGAGUCAGGGCUCCCUCUUCACUGAGCAAAGGUUAACCCAUUUCCAUGUGCUCUGGGUGGUUUCAGAAUGAAACUUAAGGUCACAAGACAUUCUCAGGUAUUCUUCUGAAUUCAUCUUCUAUCCCCUGUGCUGGGAGUUCUUCUUCCUUGGAAGACAGAGACUCCUUGGUGAGACAAGAGCAAGCUUUGAUGUGUGCCAGAACAGAAAGUGCCACUCUUCUUUCCAGCACCCUACCCUCUCCCUCCUUCAUUGAAUCAGAAUGCUGCUGUCUUCCUUUAUGUUAGAGUAAAAGUGUCCUAAAUGAGUGGGGUAUUUAAACACUAGGUAGGUGUAAAUACAUUUAAAAUGCAAGAUGUUAAAUCUUAGGAGAUGGUAAAUCUUCUUGCACACUGGAGAGGAUAUACAUUAAAAUAAAACUCUUAAAUCAUGUGUGUUUUAAAUGGUUCUUCUAGGGAUUUUGCUUUGUUCUUGUUUAGCCAAAAAAUGAACCUAUAAUUUUCUAUUGCUCAUAGGUCAAGAAUUAGAAACCUAUCUCUGCUUGACUGUAGUAGUUUGUGAAAUGGAAAGCACACAUAC